GUUUCGGGGCGGAGUGAAAUUCUCCACCGGCGGUGAAAGCCCGCGCGCGCUUUGGCGCUGACCCGGUGUGAUUCCGGGGCCGACGGUAUAGUCCGGAUGAAAGAAA
This 106-nucleotide non-coding RNA is filed under the name chicken gut metagenome. RNAcentral's name for it is "FMN riboswitch (RFN element)". It matches the Rfam family "FMN riboswitch aptamer (RFN element)". Rfam says of the family: The RFN element is a highly conserved domain that is found frequently in the 5'-untranslated regions of prokaryotic mRNAs that encode for flavin mononucleotide (FMN) biosynthesis and transport proteins. The record is from RNAcentral.